This 740-nucleotide ribosomal RNA is filed under the name uncultured bacterium. Its description in RNAcentral is "bacterial SSU rRNA". It matches the Rfam family "Bacterial small subunit ribosomal RNA", at positions 60 to 794 of the family's 1533-position model. The record is from RNAcentral.
AGUCGGAUGUGCCGCAAGGUGCAUGGCAGACGGGUGAGUAACGCGUGGGGAAUCUACCUCUUUGUGGGGAAUAACGCUCCGAAAGGAGUGGUAAUACCGCAUGAGAUCCAUGGCUGGGAUGCUGUGGAUGAAACCUGGGGACCGCAAGGCCUGGGGCAAGGAGAGGAUCCUGCGUCUGAUUAGCUAGUUGGUGAGGUAAUGGCCCACCAAGGCAACGAUCAGUAGCCGGCCUGAGAGGGUGAUCGGCCACACUGGAACUGAGACACGGUCCAGACUCCUACGGGAGGCAGCAGUGGGGAAUUUUGCGCAAUGGGCGAAAGCCUGACGCAGCAACGCCGCGUGGGUGAUGAAGGUCUUCGGAUCGUAAAACCCUGUCGUCAGGGACGAAGGUUUGGGCGUCAAUAGCGUUUAAGCUUGACGGUACCUGGAGAGGAAGCCCCGGCUAACUCUGUGCCAGCAGCCGCGGUAAUACAGAGGGGGCAAGCGUUAUUCGGAAUUAUUGGGCGUAAAGGGCGCGUAGGCGGCUUUUUAAGUGAGAUGUGUAAUCCCUGAGCUCAACUUGGGAACUGCAUCUCAUACUGGGAGGCUAGAGUACUGGAGAGGGUGGUAGAAUUCCACGUGUAGCGGUGAAAUGCGUAGAGAUGUGGAGGAAUACCAGUGGCGAAGGCGGCCACCUGGACAGUAACUGACGCUGAGGCGCGAAAGUGUGGGUAGCAAACAGGAUUAGAUACCCUGGUAGA